Molecule: ribosomal RNA, 253 nt
Filed under: uncultured bacterium
Lineage: Bacteria
Description: partial 16S ribosomal RNA
Rfam family: Bacterial small subunit ribosomal RNA
Source: RNAcentral
UACAGAGGUCCCAAGCGUUGUUCGGAUUCACUGGGCGUAAAGGGUGCGCAGGUGGUCGGGUAAGUCUGACGUGAAAUCCCGCAGCUUAACUGCGGAAUGGCAUUGGAUACUAUUCGGCUAGAGGGUUGGAGGGGGGACUGGAAUUCUCGGUGUAGCAGUGAAAUGCGUAGAUAUCGAGAGGAAGACCAGUGGCGAAGGCGGAUCUCUGGACAGCUCCUGACGCUGAGGCGCGAAGGCUAGGGGAGCAAACGGG